UGCGUAGGUGGUUUUUCAAGUCAGGAGUGAAAGGCUACGGCUCAACCGUAGUAAGCUCUUGAAACUGUUAAACUUGAGUGCAGGAGAGGAGAGUGGAAUUCCUAGUGUAGCGGUGAAAUGCGUAGAUAUUAGGAGGAGCACCAGUUGCGAAGGCGGCUCUCUGGACUGUAACUGACACUGAGGCACGAAAGCGUGGGGAGACAAACA
This 207-nucleotide ribosomal RNA is filed under the name uncultured bacterium. Its description in RNAcentral is "partial 16S ribosomal RNA". It matches the Rfam family "Bacterial small subunit ribosomal RNA", at positions 568 to 774 of the family's 1533-position model. The record is from RNAcentral.